UCUGCCACUGCAGCUCUAAGGAAGCAGAUAUACUUUCUCCUGGCCUCUGUGAGCAUCAGAACCACAUUUUUAAAUUUAAUCUUUAAAAGUAAUAAAAUCUUCUUGAAGUACCUUUUAUUGUUUGGCAACUUAUACAUGUCUACCAUGUAUCUUGAGCAUGUGCGCCCCGUAGUCCAUGUCCCACAGGUUUAAUAACCUAGUGAGGAAAUUGGCUACAGAAGUCCUGGAGCAUCCUGAGCUAACAAACCUGCAAAGUAGGCUAGGCUAAAAUCACAGCCACCUGUUUUCAGGAUGUGAUCUACAGUCUUUGCUGCCCUUCCAGAGCAUCACCCAACAGGCUUGGCUUGGUUAUUAUCCUAAAAGGGAGUUAAUGGUGUAAACCUUUUGCAAAUUAACACUCAUCUGGAAAAAGUAUUUACAAGUUUUAGAACCAGACGUGACAGUUGCCCUUUCUUCCGUGCACCUUCCACAGGAAAGAGAUCUGCUGUUCUCUUGCAGUAGCCCCCACUGCCAACACAUGCACACAUAGCACCUGUUAUGUUAGCUGACUCAAAAUGGAGGGAAAACAUAUAUUUUCAUAUGUGAGAGAGGAAGUCUUCACUGUGUCAUGAAAGCAGUCUCUGGCAUCAGUCUCAAAGACUGACGUCCCAUUUGCAGGAGUUAUUGCACUGCAGAGUCAGUGGUGAAUUGGUGUGAAUAACUCCCACAGCUCUUUAGUCUCAUGUCCUUUGGAUUGUGUACAACGGUCACUUUGAUACGCCCAUCGUGGUUUGACUGCUAUCUACCUUUCCUAAUGUUUCUUAUGUUUAAAAUGGACCACAUAGAAAUAGCACCUUAGAUUUGUAUGUACCUGACUAGGUACUGUGCUUUUCUAAUAGGUUCCAAACGUUUAAAUGUUACAUAGUAACUGAGAUAAGCUGUAGAGAGCUUACUUGUAUUCAGCAUACUUUAAUAAGUCUUACUCAGUUUCUACUCAGAGCUCUGCAGACUACUGGACAACAUGAAGCCAGACCUUAGGGUUUUUGUGGACCCUCUGGCUCUGUGAAGUUGCACAUUAAAAACAAACAACGCUGUACUGAGUACUCUUCAGUUUGGAUACGUCAAGUGUGACACACAGCCCAACUAGGAAGAGCCAGGCGGAACCAACGCCUGGUGAAGGUCCUAGUGUUCAAUGCCAUUCCUGACAGAAAUUCAAGUGAGGUCCCAAACUCAGGGUCAACAGUCAGGUUAUACCCCUCACUGUGAUAAGCUGCUCCCAGAUGGUCCAAGUCUCUGUUGAUAGCAGUGAGCACUGGGUGGGAAGGACAGGAUGUCUCCUUCUGCCUUCAACAAUAGUCCAAAGUCAAUAAUUUGAAGUAGUUAUUUUGUUAUUUUACCUUGUUAGCUACUAUGCC
RNAcentral lists this long non-coding RNA (1394 nucleotides) under Mus musculus (house mouse). RNAcentral's name for it is "long non-coding RNA chr11:45862258-45863652". The record is from RNAcentral. Lineage: Eukaryota; Metazoa; Chordata; Mammalia; Rodentia; Muridae.